Podarcis raffonei (Aeolian wall lizard) is the source of this 3046-nucleotide RNA transcript. It is a transcript of the gene named disintegrin and metalloproteinase domain-containing protein 21-like, with no coding region annotated. The record is from RefSeq and is a predicted model, not a curated record. NCBI's taxonomy places the organism in Eukaryota, Metazoa, Chordata, Lepidosauria, Squamata, Lacertidae. The transcript is spliced from 3 exons.
UUUGACUUUGCAAGUCUUUCAUCAGUUCUUAAGAACUGCAUUUGGAUGUACGGUAAUUUGUAUUCCUGUCACAUCAGUAUAUGGAAAUCUUGUGUUUAUCAAUAAGAGAUAACAAGUGGAGUUCCACAACAAAACAUUUCAACUGAUUGCUGAUGUAUGUGUAUGUCAUCUGAUUGCUUGUAGUUGAGGGUGGGUGAGAGCAUAAAAUACAGUAGUCAGUGAUUUAAUCUGGGUCAUGUACAACGUAUGUUUGAUUUCUUUGAAAGGCAACUGGGUACUUAAUUUGGUCUAGGAGGAGGUCUGAGAGGGCAAUUUAAGUCAUUUAGCGUUUGACAAGCAGUUUAGAGGAGGGUCUGAGGUUGGUUAGGAUUUCCACUUAAAAUCCCCCACACUUCAGAAUGCAUCACAUAUAAUUGUUAUUAACUUAUUCCCUCCUAACACAAACCCAGCUUUCACUGGCAUGCAGAAUCUUUGUGCUCAUUUAGCACACUACCCACACUAGCGUGGGCUGUACUGGUAGGCUAUCUCACAUGAAACUUGGAUGCACAGUGGCCUGCCUAAGCCCCCAGAGGUCCUCUUAUUUGACUAUGAAUCAUGCCCAAUGCCCCUCUCCAACCACAAGAGAUGGGAAGCUCAGUUGACUGGCUCCCUGCCAACUCAACUCUGACCACAACCAAUUGACCAGACCAGCCUGUACGUUCAACAAGGGUUGUAUUCGACAAAGCAAUAAGAUGAAUGGUUUAUUAAUACAAAGAUUUUGCCUACUGGCCCAAAUGUUUGAUCCUAUCUGAAGACUGUCUUUUUUAAAAAAAGGAAUUAUUUUUUGAUAGGUUUUUCUAGUCAUAAAUAAAUACAUAUACAUUUUAAAGUCUGGGGGAGGCUGAGCUGCAGCAACUUGCACCCAGUAUCACUUCUGCUGUAUACUCAUUACAACCUGCUGCUCCUCACAUCCCAUAUUCUGCUGGUAGAGGUUGCUCCUGUUUAUGUGCUACAUGAUUCCUUCAAAUCAUGUACCAAGAAAACAAUGUGUACUCCCAGAAUGUUUAGUAAUGUGGCUACAGUGUCUUUCUGUAAAUGCAUACCACACAUCUCUGUUACUCCAUUGUCAGUUUCUCUGGUUUUUUUUAUCUGUUGCAUCUCAUGUUCCUAUCACACCUAAUUCUUCUUCCUGAAAUGUUUUCAGCCAAUCAUCUUCAGGCACCUUUCCCUUUCUUUUGCCAUUUUCCUCCAUUUUGUUCUAUCCAUCACUGGCCAAGCUCCAUGCACAUUGAAACUAUAACCUACUCUCUCACCAUUCUGCUCUGUCCUUUACCAAGCUCCACCUACAUUCCAAUUGUAAAGCUACUAACUCCUUGCAAGGAACAGAAUAUAUUUCCUCAUCCGCUGCCCAUUCUGCACCAGAGUGGGGUGCUCUAGUCUAGAGGACUUUUUCCUGCCAGACAAAGUGUUGAUAAUGAUCCUAUGGAGGAGACUCAGUGAGUCCAAUGGUCAGACAUUGCCUCAGGACUUUAGGCAUAGCUCUUACAAUGUGAUCAUCCCAAUGAAACUGACCUCCAGAUGUGGAAAACAAGAACCCCGAGACAUUACCUAGCUGCUCAGUUUGAGGGAAAGAGCCAUGUGCUGAAGCUCAGGCAAAAGAGGGGCCUUGUCCCUAAAAAUGUACCAGUCUUCACUUACACUAAAAAGGGGUCUUUUAACUCCUAAGGUCCCAGGUUUUCCUGGGUGAGAACUUGACCAAGAUCUAAAUACAAAAAGGGGGGGAACCUAGGUACUAACCCAUGGGUUAUAUCCGCAUAUCCCACAUCCUCCAGUCUACUCUCAGAAUAUUAGUAAAAUUCCAAAGAAGGUCCCUUCAUCAAAUGGAUGUUUUGCACCUACCCCAAAUCCUUCAUGUCAUACUUGUCUAUUAUUACACUGUCAAUAUAUUGAACUAUCUCCCAUUUCUUGGUCCUCUGCUUCUCAACUUCCCAUUGCAUUUGCCUCUUCUUCCCAUAACCCUUUAACCCAGCUAUCUCUAUUACACCUUUCCCCUUCCACCAUGUGCUUCCCUAUUCUCCAUUCUAUUAUUUCUCUGAUUCUCCAGGCUCCGCCUACAUUCUAAAGGUAACUGCAAUGACUGUUGCCAGGGUCAGAAUCCUCCCUUUCCUUGUCUAGCUCACAUACAACCACCUCAUCUUCUUUCUGGUCUGCUCUCAGCUGAGUUGUGGGAGGCUUUUGGGGCUGGGAUAGAAAGCUAGAGCAGGGUAUUCUGGAGGUUGCUUUCCACUGUCAGGGAAAAUGAUUAGCCACCAUGUGUGGCUGCUAGUGCUGAUUUCAUUCAAUGUUGUGAGUGGGAAUGCAGAUCAGAAACCACCACAGGGUUUUAGAUAUGCCUCUUAUGAGGUGACCAUUCCAAAGAAAUUGACCCCUAGAUAUGGAGAACAAAAUCCCCAUGAUGUCACCUACCUAUUGCAAAUUGAGGGAAAAGAGCAUGUGAUUCAUCUCAAGCAAAAGAGGGGCUUUGUCCCUAAACAUUUCCCUGUCUUCACUUACAGUAAGGAAGGGGACCUCCAGACGGACUAUCCUUUCAUAAGAGAUGACUGCUUCUACCGUGGCUUUGUCCAAGGCAAGCCUUCCUCUUGGGUUACCCUCAGCACUUGUUCAGGGGGCCUCAGGGGUCUGCUGCACUUAGAAAAUGACACCUAUGAAAUUGAGCCUAUUCAGGGAUCUACUACUUCUCAGCACAUGGUAUAUAGGUUGGAAGAAACGGAGGAUACUAUCCGUAUGAGGUGUGGGCUAACAGAGGAAGAACAACGUCGUCAAGAGGCCAUGAUCCCGGAGAGAGAGCAUUUACCAGCCAAACGUUCUGAAAAUGACUGGUGGACAGACUCCAGCUGGUCAAAAAAAUAAUCUCAAUUAUUGUGGCAACGAAAUAGUGGAAGAUGAAGAGCAAUGCGACUGUGGCUCACCAGCUAAGUGACUAUACUGCUAUAUCACUUAAGAAGACUGAUUUCAAGAGUCCAUCCAAUAGAAUCAAUGCAGGAAGUAAGCACACAGUAGAUCAGAG